UGCAUCAUGGCUAUCUCCUGAUGCCCAAUAAUGGACGACAUUUGUUUAAAUGGUCACUCAUAUUCGCAUAAACCAGUCUCCAUGAUCUAGGAUUAGUUUGAGAUUUGGAAGCAUCUCCGUUACUCACUGAUUAUCCGUAGGUCUUAUCAUUAUUUGUCCAACCUUUCCCUCAGCUGAUAAUGCUUCUGCACAUAUUCCUAAAUAAAGCCAUCUUUUUAGUUGGAGCAGAGUAUCUGUUGCAUCCUCUUGAAAAUGUGAAGAUGCUGGGAUUGGGGCCCAGUGAAGUCCUGGUCAAGCUUUAAAUGGCAUCAGCAAAGGAGCAAUUUUGGAGAAAGGACAGCUAAUACGUUGUAUUAAUGCUAAUGAUCAGACUAAAUUCCACCUUCAUCAGAGGUUGGAGAGGCUUUACUCAUUGGCUUGAAAACUAGAGAGAGAUCUCCAAUCUUGACCAUUGUGACUGCAAGAUCAUUGUUUCAGAUAUUUUGUAGCCUAUCAAA
Eucalyptus grandis is the source of this 497-nucleotide long non-coding RNA. RefSeq lists it as uncharacterized. The record is from RefSeq and is a predicted model, not a curated record. Lineage: Eukaryota; Viridiplantae; Streptophyta; Magnoliopsida; Myrtales; Myrtaceae. The transcript has 2 exons.